Molecule: ribosomal RNA, 252 nt
Filed under: uncultured bacterium
Lineage: Bacteria
Description: partial 16S ribosomal RNA
Rfam family: Bacterial small subunit ribosomal RNA
Source: RNAcentral
CCUUGGUGACUGAGCGGCGGACGGGUGGGUAACGCGUGGGUAACCUUCCUCGUACAGGGGGAUAACAGUUGGAAACGGCUGCUAAUACCGCAUAAGCGCACAGUACCGCAUGGUACGGUGUGAAAAACUCCGGUGGUAUGAGAUGGACCCGCGUCUGAUUAGGUAGUUGGUGGGGUAACGGCCUACCAAGCCGACGAUCAGUAGCCGACCUGAGAGGGUGACCGGCCACAUUGGGACUGAGACACGGCCCAA